Molecule: long non-coding RNA, 1579 nt
Organism: Rhinolophus ferrumequinum (greater horseshoe bat)
Lineage: Eukaryota; Metazoa; Chordata; Mammalia; Chiroptera; Rhinolophidae
Source: Ensembl
ACUGGAAGUCUUUUGCAGACUUAAAUGCAAAUGUAGGAGUUCAUCUGAAGUUGUAGAUCUCUUGGACUGUGAGGUUUCACCACAAACAUAGUUAAAACAUGAAAAAAAUUUGUUUUUGUCAUAUGAGAAGUGAUGAAAAACAAUUUUAUGAUCUCCUUCCCCACCGGUGAAAUGAGAUUUUCAAAGCUGUUUUAAAAUGGCUGUUUUAGCCUUGCAUACACAUAGUUCAAAUCUUUGCAAACUGCUUGCGCAUCAAAAAAGAAACCGGAAUAGCCACUUCCUUGUGUUAUACACGUGCAGGCCUACCUUCCCCAUUGGACCAUCAGUUCCUUUCAUGGCUGGGACCAGUUCUUGUUCAUCGUCUUAUCUACCUCUGUCCUCCAAAUACCUAAUGCAUAGUUUUGCACUUAGUGGAUACAAAAAAAAUUGCAAUAAUAAAUAUUAUAAAUUAAAAUUUGGAAAAGAAACUUACAAAAUUCUGGCAAUAAUAUGUAAAUACUGCAUCAGAAAAAUGUUGGAUUCUACAAGACAAUCACAAACCUCACAGACUAAUGGGGAUGAGUACAAUGAGCAGUGCUGUGCUUUGCGACAGGCCACAGCUGACGUUUGGAGUUUAUACCUAUCUCUCCAUGGCUGGAGAGGCUUCUGGACCUCCUCUUGGAUACUAGUGAGGCUCCCACUAAAAGACAAGGAGGGAAAAAGAAGUGAGAGAAGUUAUUCUAAGGCUGGGAUCAUAUGUAAACAUGACUUCACCUACCACGUAUCCCAUGAUCAGGAAAGUCGCUUCAGUGUUGAUCAGGAAACGGGUUCCAAGAAGUUUGGUUGAACAAGAUCUCAUGGACAGUGAUCUGAGUCUUAAAGCCAGCACGUCUCACUCCCAGCUCACUGCUUGGUGCUCUAUGCUAUGCUGCCUCAGUCUCCAUGUUUGUUGGAGAGAUGCACCUUCCAUUACUGUUGUCACUUACAAGACCCAGAAGCCCAUGAGCUUUAACUUCACUGACACUGUGAAUAUGACAGAUGAUCCAGGAAACUGCACCCACUUCUCAAGUUGAUGACUAUAAGCUUCUCAGUACCAUCUUCAGGGCCAUUUUUUUGUGUUUUUUUGCUGUAACAGCUUAUAUUGAGCAUUCAGAAUCUGCUGCAGGAGUACAAGAAGGAGAAGGCUGAGCUGACAGUAUGGGAAUGCUUUGCCCAGAUUCAUUCUUAGGAGAGCCUAAGACUCUAACUCCAAAAAAAGGAAUUCCCUUUGCCUCUGAAGUCAAAUGAAUGGAAAAUGAAUGGAGUUUAGAAGGAAAGUGAAUGGAGCCCCUAAGCAUCAAAACACACUUCCUACCCAUGACUCACAGCUGCCUCCAAUAGCCCUAAGUGGGGUUUCCUUGGAAGCCAGCCCAUAAGACCAUCCCACUAUACAAUCUGGCCCCAGAUGAAUCCAACUCCAUUCUGCAUUUGCAACAUGAGCAACGCCAAGGAAUUGAAGAGAUGAAAAUAUUCAGGUCCCCUCCCAUUCCAAAAUGCUUGCAAAACACCUGAGAGGUGAUUUGGAGAGGACAUUUUAUAAGCUUGCGGUAAAUAGAGGGCA